This is a long non-coding RNA of Nerophis ophidion (straightnose pipefish), 2115 nucleotides long. RefSeq lists it as uncharacterized. Lineage: Eukaryota; Metazoa; Chordata; Actinopteri; Syngnathiformes; Syngnathidae. The record is from RefSeq and is a predicted model, not a curated record. The transcript is spliced from 4 exons.
CAUUGUGUUGUCACAAAUUAAGUGUGGUUGUGUUGCCAGCAGUGCAGUGUGUUGUGAUGGCAACAAUUACAGGCAUGCUAAUUGGCAGCUGUGAUGAUAAAGUUUGGCGCCGCCCACACGUGACCUCCGCCAGGCAGUGAAGAAUGCGGGCUGACCUUUGACCCACAUGGGGACAAGAAUACUCACCAUGUGUCCCCCUGGGGGCGCACACCACCGCACUCAGCACGCCCACCAACAUCCACACUGAAGCCUCCAUGCUGCUCCCGGUCCCGGUCCUGGUCCAGUGGGAAGUAGCGGCUCUCAAGCAGGGACUGCACGAACGUGCAUGUUCGUCCCGCCGCCGGCAGCCAGGGGGAAAAAAGUCCCGGUAUAAUCCCGAAUGGUGCCGAGCAGUCCCGAAGGUUCCCGAAGGAAUGAAAGCAGCGACGAGACGAAGAAGGAACGAGACGAGUGGCGGCAAGUGCGGGGAGAAGACGACCGUCUGCUGCUGGUGCGCACGCACCAACAUUCAUGAGGGAGGGGCUGUGAUCGUCUAUACCAAGAUGACUGCCAGGUGCCGUACCUAAGCCGGAGCAGACCAUCAGGGCCGAGUUGCGACGAGAGAGUGUGUCGAUGUUAAGAUAUUACGCCGAGUUGGAGCAGUUUCGUCUGUUUUAUUCGUAGGGGGCGCUAGAGCGCAAUUUUGAGUUUUGGGGUUGUUUUUUGAUUAAAUCGCAAUUUUUGCCCGUCCUGACGUGUGUGUCCAGUUUGGUGAGUUUGAAGCAUUUUAAGGGGAUCAAAUUACAGCUCAAAUAGGCGGCGGUAUAAUAAAGAAUAAUAAUAAAACCUUUGAAUUACAAUAGGGUCCUCUGUCCCAAAGGGACAUCGGUCCCUAACAAUAUGUGACUAAUUUUUUCAAAAUGUUAUGACUGAGACAUUAAACUGGAGGGGAGUGAAAAGAAGUAUAAAUUGUCUUGGUGUUGAGAAUGAGAACGCGCACCCAUGUCAGCUGGUCGAUGCGAGCACACAUCCACCAGGACGGUCUGCAGGUUGGCAAGGAUGUGUUCUUUGGGGAAGUCCAGCUGCAGGAGGAGCAAAACGGUCAACAAAGCCCCACCUACUUCACCGUGACGACGACGCCGUGACGCACCGUGGCGAUCUGCGUCCUGACGUAGCACUCGCUCUCCACCGCGUACUCGUGGCCCGUCCGGAAGAGCUCCAGCAUCUUGGGGAUGUCCACGCCCACCGAGCCUGGGGGUCAGAGGGGGCAAAGACGUCAGUUCCGACGGCGGCGGCGGCCAAGGGGGCGAACACGGGGGCGACGUGUGGAUGGGCUUGCCUCUGUUGCUCUUAGGGAACUUCUUCCUCAGUUUGUUCUUCAGCGGCACCAGCUUGGCCAACAUUUCGGGCACGGCCACGUAGAAGUCGGCGACCAUCUCCUCGUCUAAGAUCUGAGAAAGGUUGACUUCUAACGGGCUGCUUAAAACGCUCUAGAAGGGGACACGCUCACCGGCUGAAUAAGCUCCGCCCCUCCGACAAAGGCAGCUCCGCCCUCCUUGGCCACUGUGGCUUGAUGAGGAUCCUUGGACAAAGCAAAAGACAUUUCCAUCCCAGCAUGCAUCACUCCUGUGUGGCGCUAAUGAACACAUUAUAACGGGACUGUCUAUGCAAGUCUACACACUGACAGAGAAUAAGAAGCUGUGGCAGGAGGGACCCGUGUUGCCAACUUACUGACUUUGUCACUAUAUUCAGCGAGUGUUUAUUAGUAGUAGUUAGGAUUAAAACUCCUUUAAAAACAAACAAAACAAAAAAGUUGAUUAUCUACUUUUUGUCUCUCACAACGUUAUUUGUCUUUCUUUAUAUUUACACACAAAUGCAUUAUGGCCAACUAUUAUUAUUUAUAUAAAUUCAUAUGAAAAAAUAAUAAUAAUAGUAGUAGAACUAGAGCAUUUUAAUGGGCCUGCUAUCUGUGACCUGGACCUUGCCGGAAGCUGCCGUGGCGAGUAUCCGAAUCCGUGACUUUUAGCUACAGGGCUAUCCUAAAACGUUAGCAUGCGCAGAUUAAAAUGCUAACACUUAGCAUGUGUGCAAAUAAUGGCAUGCUAACGGCGAGCACGUCUCACAUUUCAAGUAACA